This 377-nucleotide ribosomal RNA is filed under the name uncultured bacterium. RNAcentral's name for it is "bacterial SSU rRNA". It matches the Rfam family "Bacterial small subunit ribosomal RNA", at positions 521 to 896 of the family's 1533-position model. The record is from RNAcentral.
UAAUACGUAGGGUGCAAGCGUUGCCCGGAUUUAUUGGGCGUAAAGGGCGCGUAGGCGGCCCGGCACGUCACGCGUGAAAGCUCCCGGCUUACCUGGGAGAGUGCGUGUGAUACGGCCGAGCUUGAGCGAGGUAGGGGGCCAUGGAAUUCCCGGUGUAGUGGUGGAAUGCGUAGAGAUCGGGAGGAACACCCGUGGCGAAGGCGAUGGCCUGGACCUCUGCUGACGCUGAGGCGCGAAAGCGUGGGGAGCGAUCCGGAUUAGAUACCCGGGUAGUCCACGCCGUAAACGAUGCGGACUAGGUGUCGGGGGUAUCGACCCCCUCGGUGCCGGAGCUAACGCACUAAGUCCGCCGCCUGGGGACUACGGCCGCAAGGCUA